UACGGAGGGUGCAAGCGUUGUCCGGAUUUAUUGGGUUUAAAGGGUGCGUAGGCGGCUGUUUAAGUCAGCGGUGAAAGACUCCGGCUCAACCGGGGCAGUGCCGUUGAUACUGGACAGCUUGAGUGCUGCAGGGGUACAUGGAAUUGAUGAUGUAGCGGUGAAAUGCAUAGAUAUCAUCAGGAACACCGAUAGCGAAGGCAUUGUACUGGGCAGCAACUGACGCUGAGGCACGAAAGCGUGGGGAGCAAACAGG
This 253-nucleotide ribosomal RNA is filed under the name uncultured microorganism. RNAcentral describes it as "partial 16S ribosomal RNA". It matches the Rfam family "Bacterial small subunit ribosomal RNA", at positions 524 to 776 of the family's 1533-position model. The record is from RNAcentral.